RNAcentral lists this long non-coding RNA (2042 nucleotides) under Homo sapiens (human). Its description in RNAcentral is "HSALNT0167362". The record is from RNAcentral. Lineage: Eukaryota; Metazoa; Chordata; Mammalia; Primates; Hominidae.
ACUGGCUUUCUAAUUGGCAUCCCUGUCUCCUCAAAUCUAACCUUGGUUACCGAGAGUAUUGUAUACUACAGCAAAUCUGAUCAAGUUCAUCACCUACCCCAACAUUCAGGGUAAAGGCCAAACUCCUAAGAAAGCCAUCCCUUCCUUUGUGUCUGGCCCUGCCUCUCCAGUCUUCUCUUCCAGUCUUCUCUUUUUUUAUACUGUGAUUGCCUAGUUAUUUGUUCAUUUCCCUGAUUAGUAUACAAGUCCCUUGAAGACACAGACCAUGGUUAUUUGUAUUUUGGUAUCCUCAGCAUGUAUCACAGUGCCAGGUUCAUAGUAGGUUUAAUUAUUAUUGUUAUUAUUAUUAUUUUUGAGACAGAGUUUUGCUUUUGUUACCCAGGCUGGAGGGCAAUGGUGUGAUCUUGGCUCGUCGCAACCUCUGCCUCCCGGGUUCAAGCGAUUCUCCUGCCUCAGCCUCCCAAGUAGCUGGGAUUACACUCAUGCACAACCAUGCCUGGCUAAUUUUGUAUUUUUAGUAGAGACGGGGUUUCUCCAUGUUGGUCAGGCUGGUCUCGAACUCCUGACCUCAGGUGAUCUGCCUGCCUCGGCCUCCCAGAGUGCUGGGAUUACAGGUGUGAGCCACUGCGACCAGCCUAAUUAUUAUUGUGAAUGCAGGAACUGACAAGGCCCUAUGACCUGGGGUGAAAAGAAGGGAUUAAGCUCUGGCCUGUAGAGAUUCUCUGGCUCUCUUCCUUUCUUUUCAUAAGCCAGACUGACUCUUUGGUUGAUCCAGCCCUGAAAUUGAUGGCAGUAAGUCAGGUGGAUCUGAAGGCAGAACCUAGCCACCAAGGACAGUGGCAGGGGUGAAGAAGCCACUGAGCUCGGACCAUCUUGGGAGUUGAGGUGGAGGUGAAAGCAAUGGACAUAACUGGUACUACCCAGUGCCCCCGAUCCCCAAACCAGGAGAGUUUGAGAAGGGAUAGGAAAGCCUGAGUCAAUGAGGUUCCAAGGAAGAGACUGGUGACAGGGGCUAGUGGAAAUUGUGGGUUGAGGUCAAAGGUCUGGAAGAUCGAUCCCUACGUUGAAUAUGGCCAUCCAGGCUGGGCACUGUGGCUCACGCCUAUAAUCCCAGCACUUUGGGAGGCUGAGGCAGGCAAAUAGAUUGAGCCCAGGAGUUCAAAACCAGCCUGGGCAACAUGGCAAAAUCCUGUCUCUACAAAAAAACAAAAAAAUUAGCCAGGUAUGGUGGCACACGCCUGUCGUCCCAGCUUCUCGGGAGGUUGAGGUGGGAGGAUUGCUUGAGCCCAGGAGGUCCAGGCUGCAGUGAGCUGUGAUCACACUACUGCACUCCAGUAAUAGAGUGAGACCCUGUCUAAAUAAAUAAAUAAAUAAAUAAAUAAUAAGGCCCUCCAGGGGCCAUGUUCUUCCUAACCUGUCCUUAGGAAGUGUUCACAUUGUGUAGAUGUAGCAGUUUGGUUCACACUGACCCGGGUAAUCAGGAAAAGAGGAGAGCCAGAAAGGGGGGAGGAAGGAGCUCUAGAUUCCCAGGUCUAUAAGGAGCCACCCUGGGCUGGAAUGCUUGGCAGCCUUACUGCCCCAGAAUGAAGGGGAAAAAGUCCUGAGUGGCUCCACUAUGCCACCUCAGUCUCUUCUUAGGCACAGGCUCCCCCUGGUGGUUACUCUUGUCACUGCCAACUCCACCCAUUGCCCUCAAACAUGCACACUUGCCCAUUUUUAACUAAGAACUGAGGAAGCCUCUGGAUGUAGUAAAUGGAGCUUCUCUUAGAGCAAGAGAGGAGAAGAGGGAAGGAGAGAUUCAAGGAACAGAAUUAUGGAGAAGGGAAAGGGCCCUGGACUUGUACUAGGAUGGUUAUCACCCAGAAGAAAGGGGACCUGGGCUGGCAGGAUUCUUCGUCUCCAGGAUUGGAAGUCUAUUCCAGCUACCAACCUGACUUAGAUAAUUUGGUCCAACUGGGGAGGAAGUUGAGGGCACACAGCAGAGUUUCCUGGGAGGGCAUAGCAAGUUCACAUUUUAUAUGAAUUUGAAGUACAGGAAGAUG